Molecule: ribosomal RNA, 818 nt
Filed under: uncultured bacterium
Lineage: Bacteria
Description: bacterial SSU rRNA
Rfam family: Bacterial small subunit ribosomal RNA
Source: RNAcentral
GAUGAAUGCUGGCGGCGCGCCUAACACAUGCAAGUCGAGCGGAAAGGCCCUUCGGGGUACUCGAGCGGCGGACGGCUGAGUAACGCGUGGGAACAUGCCCCAAAGUGAGGAAUAACUGCCCGAAAGGGUAGCUAAUGCCGCAUAUGAUCUUCGGAUUAAAGGAUUUAUCCGCUUUGGGAGUGGCCCGCGUACGAUUAGGUAGUUGGUGAGGUAAAGGCUCACCAAGCCCACGAUCGUUAACUGGUCUGAGAGGAUGAUCAGUCAGACUGGAACUGAGACACGGUCCAGACUCCUACGGGAGGCAGCAGUGAGGAAUCUUCCACAAUGGGCGAAAGCCUGAUGGAGCGACGCCGCGUGCAGGAUGAAGGCCUUCGGGUUGUAAACUGCUUUUAUAAGUGAAGAAUAUGACGGUAACUUAUGAAUAAGCACCGGCUAACUACGUGCCAGCAGCCGCGGUCAUACGUAGGGUGCAAGCAUUAUCCGGAGUGACUGGGCGUAAAGAGUUGCGUAGGUGGUUAUGUAAGCGAAUAGUGAAAUGUGGCGGCUCAACCGUACACACUAUUAUUCGAACUGCAUAACUCGAGAAUGGUAGAGGUAACUGGAAUUUCUUGUGUAGGAGUGAAAUCCGUAGAUAUAAGAAGGAACACCAAUGGCGUAGGCAGGUUACUGGACCAUUUCUGACACUGAGGCACGAAAGCGUGGGGAGCGAACCGGAUUAGAUACCCGGGUAGUCCACGCCGUAAACUAUGGAUACUAGCUGUUGGAGGUAUCGACCCCUUCAGUAGCGAAGCUAACGCGUUAAGUAUCCCGCCUGUGGA